CCAGCAGCCGCGGUAAUACGUAGGUGGCAAGCGUUGUCCGGAUUUAUUGGGUUUAAAGGGUGCGUAGGCGGCCUAUUAAGUCAGUGCUGAAAUAUCCCGGCUUAACCGGGAGGGUGGCAUUGAUACUGAUGGGCUUGAGUGGAUUCGAGGUAGGCGGAAUUGACGGUGUAGCGGUGAAAUGCAUAGAUAUCGUCAAGAACACCGAUAGUGUAGACAGCUCACUAGACUGCAACUGACGCUGAGGCACGAAAGUGUGGGGAUC
Molecule: ribosomal RNA, 262 nt
Filed under: uncultured bacterium
Lineage: Bacteria
Description: partial 16S ribosomal RNA
Rfam family: Bacterial small subunit ribosomal RNA
Source: RNAcentral